Non-coding RNA from Spinacia oleracea (spinach), 109 nucleotides. Lineage: Eukaryota; Viridiplantae; Streptophyta; Magnoliopsida; Caryophyllales; Amaranthaceae. The record is from Rfam.
AAUCUGAUGUUGGGGACAGGAUGAACAUAAUCUCUUAAAACGUUCCCAAUACUCAUACAAGGACUCAUUAUCAUGUUGCCUAAUGCCACAUAUCUCCUUCCUGAUGGAU